Molecule: ribosomal RNA, 484 nt
Filed under: uncultured bacterium
Lineage: Bacteria
Description: partial 16S ribosomal RNA
Rfam family: Bacterial small subunit ribosomal RNA
Source: RNAcentral
AUUGAACGCUGGCGGCAGGCCUAACACAUGCAAGUCGAGCGGAUGAAGGGAGCUUGCUUCUGGAUUCAGCGGCGGACGGGUGAGUAAUGCCUAGGAAUCUGCUUGGUAGUGGGGGAUAAUGUCUGGAAACGGGUGCUAAUACUGCAUACGUCCUGAGGGAGAAAGUGGGGGGUCUUUGGACCUCACGCUCUCAGAUGAGCCUAGGUCGGGCUAGCUAGCUGGUGGGGUGAAGGCCUACCAAGGCGACGAUCCGUAACUGGUCUGAGAGGAUGAUCAGUCACACUAGAACUUGGACACGGACCAGACUCCUACGGGAGGCAGCAGUGGGGAAUAUUGGACAAUGGUGGAAAGCCUGAUCCAGCCAGGCCGCGUCUGUGAAGAAGGUCUUCGGAUUGUAAAGCACUUUAAGUUGGGAGAAAGGGCAGUAGGUUAAUACCUUGCUGUUUUGACGGUACCAACAGAAUAAGCACCGGCUAACUUCGUG